RNAcentral lists this unclassified non-coding RNA (159 nucleotides) under uncultured Sebacinaceae. RNAcentral's name for it is "sequence contains ITS1". Lineage: Eukaryota; Fungi; Basidiomycota; Agaricomycetes; Sebacinales; Sebacinaceae. The record is from RNAcentral.
AAGAGAACUGCCUUCAGUGCUGGCCCGCUCGGGCAAGUGCACGUCGGUGACUUUCAUCCAAUACCCUGUGCACCAUUGGCCUCUGCUAGCUUUGGCCGGCAGAGGAAUUUUACACCUACUCGAAUGUAAUGAAAUUAGUGUGUGCGUAAGCACAAUGUA